CCCUUAGAUGUUCUGGGCCGCACGCGCGCUACACUGACGAAUGCAACGAGCUUAUAACUUUGGCCGAAAGGUCUGGGUAAUCUCCAAAUUUCGUCGUGAUGGGGAUAGAUUAUUGCAAUUAUUAAUCUUCAACGAGGAAUGCCUAGUAAGCGCAAGUCAUCAGCUUGCGUUGAUUACGUCCCUGCCCUUUGUACACACCGCCCGUCGCUCCUACCGAUUGAAUGGUCCGGUGAAGCGUUCGGACCGUGGCCUUUGGACGGUUCGCCGUCUGUUGGCUGCGGGAAGUUCGUUAAACCUUAUCAUUUAGAGGAAGGAGAANUCGUAACA
RNAcentral lists this ribosomal RNA (327 nucleotides) under uncultured eukaryote. RNAcentral describes it as "partial 18S ribosomal RNA". It matches the Rfam family "Eukaryotic small subunit ribosomal RNA", at positions 1470 to 1796 of the family's 1831-position model. The record is from RNAcentral.